Molecule: ribosomal RNA, 197 nt
Filed under: uncultured bacterium
Lineage: Bacteria
Description: partial 16S ribosomal RNA
Rfam family: Bacterial small subunit ribosomal RNA
Source: RNAcentral
GCAGGCUGCAACNCGCCUGCAUGAAGGCGGAAUUGCAGUAAUCGCGGAUCAGCAUGCCGCGGUGAAUAGUUCCCGGGCCUUGUACACACCGCCCGUCACACCAUGAGAGUUGGGAAUACCCGAAGCCUGUGAGCUAACGUAAGAGGCAGCAGUCGAAGGUAGAAUCAAUGAUUGGGGUGAAGUCGUAACAAGGUACC